ACGGGUGAGUAACACGUGGGCAACCUGCCCUUGAGACUGGGAUAACUUCGGGAAACCGGAGCUAAUACCGGAUAAUAUAAGGAACCUCCUGGUUCCUUAUUGAAAGAUGGUUUCGGCUAUCACUUAAGGAUGGGCCCGCGGCGCAUUAGCUAGUUGGUGAGGUAACGGCUCACCAAGGCGACGAUGCGUAGCCGACCUGAGAGGGUGAUCGGCCACACUGGGACUGAGACACGGCCCAGACUCCUACGGGAGGCAGCAGUAGGGAAUCUUCCACAAUGGACGAAAGUCUGAUGGAGCAACGCCGCGUGAGUGAUGAAGGCCUUCGGGUCGUAAAGCUCUGUUGUUAGGGAAGAACAAGUGCGAGAGUAACUGCUCGCACCUUGACGGUACCUAACCAGAAAGCCACGGCUAACUACGUGCCAGCAGCCGCGGUAAUACGUAGGUGGCAAGCGUUAUCUGGAAUUAUUGGGCGUAAAGCGCGCGCAGGUGGUUUCUUAAGUCUGAUGUGAAAGCCCACGGCUCAACCGUGGAGGGUCAUUGGAAACUGGGGAACUUGAGUGCAGAAGAGGAAAGUGGAAUUCCA
RNAcentral lists this ribosomal RNA (583 nucleotides) under uncultured bacterium. RNAcentral describes it as "bacterial SSU rRNA". It matches the Rfam family "Bacterial small subunit ribosomal RNA", at positions 102 to 671 of the family's 1533-position model. The record is from RNAcentral.